Molecule: long non-coding RNA, 1562 nt
Filed under: Canis lupus familiaris (dog)
Lineage: Eukaryota; Metazoa; Chordata; Mammalia; Carnivora; Canidae
Description: lncRNA (ENSCAFG00000056259.1)
Source: RNAcentral
GAAUUUGGCCAAUAGUAAAGAGGCAGCCAGCACAUUGUAGAGCCCUGCAUUUCCAGGAACAGAAAGUGAAAUAAAAGUUCAGUAGGCUUAUUUUCUGAGAAACACAGCCAUUGCCAGGAAGUGAAACUGAAAGACAUCAUGGCUAUUUAUUUUGUAUGCUUUGGGCAUCAUGAGUAAGGGUUGGACACAGGGACCCCAGCAGGAGGCUUCUCAGUGACCCCAAAAGGACACUCCAACCAGGCCCCAGGCUCCAGACAGAAAUUGAAUCCAGAAUCAGAGAACACAGACCUGAGUUUUGGAAAAACGACACUCAUGGCCCCCCUGUUAACCUUGAACAGCCCAAAUUCUAUGGAGAGUGAAGUCGAAUAAAGAGUGUAUCUCAUCUUUGUCCCUGGUUCCUGGUACAGAGCUUCAGAAAAUAUGGGAAUUUCCCGAGUUUACUUUGUUAUGCUUAUUCUUGAACAAAAGAUUCACAGCAACCAUAUUUUGGUUUUGAAAAAUAAAAAAGAAAACUUUACUUUUAUUAUAGAAACCUAAUAGAAACAGAAGAGGAAAGGAAUCUACACAUAGAUUGAGGUAAUAGUAGGCAAUAAAUAGGAAUGUGGCAAAGUUACAUCAAAUUGGAUACAUCUGGGGAAGCCCCAUGGAAACAGCCAUGUUAGAGUUCUGAUUGAGGGGCUUGGCAGAAUGUGCUCCCUCAGGUGAGACUUCCAACUGACUGUCCCCAUAAGGGCCAUAUUUAUAGGGCAAAUGACAGUGUUUGAAAUUAAACAUUUAUUUGCCUAGGUGCAGUUUAUAGGGAGCUGCAUUUCCAUGUCAUUUUGUUCCUAUAUUUUCUUUCUUUUUUUAUUAUUUAAAUUGAAUUAACCAACCUGGAGUACAUCAUUAGUUUCAGAUUUAGUGUUCAAUAAUUUAUCAGUUGUGUAUAACACCCAGUGCUCAUCCUAUCAUGUGCCCUCCUUAAUGCCCAUCACCCAAUUAAUACAUUCCCCUACCCAUCUUUCCUCCAGCAACCUUCAGUUUGUUUCCUAUAGUUAAUAGUCUCUAAUGCUUUUUUCUCCCUCUCUGAUGACUAUGUUUCUAUAUUUUCAAGGAGCCUGGAGUAUGUGUGCUUAUCUCCUCUCCUGGAUUUCAUUCCAUGUGGCCUGGCCAGCCUGCAGUAGGAGGGCAUUUGGGGGCAGUGAAGAAUGGGAUCUGAAGUUAACUGCUAACAGCCUAUGGGACGAAAAGUCACACAGGUGCCUGCUGAAUGUGUGAUUUCACUGUUUCUCUAGUUGAUAUAAAAGGCCAUGAGUAAGUCACACAUGAAUUUGAGCUCUGCAUGCUGUUCUCUAAUCCAAAGAAACUAUAUACUUAAAAAUAUCAGUAUGUUUAUUUGAUAUCAAAAAUACUGAUAUAUUUAAUAUAUAUAAAGUAUUUCAAGUAUUAAAUACUUAAAUAAGUAUUUAAAUAUAUAAAAUAUAAUUAAUAUUUUCAAUUAUAUAAAUAUACUAUAGGGACGCCUGGGUGGCUCAGCAGUUGAGCGUCUGCCUUCAGCUCAGGUCCUGAUCCCAAGGUCCCGA